This 1151-nucleotide long non-coding RNA is filed under the name Medicago truncatula (barrel medic). Its description in RNAcentral is "lncRNA gene49375". The record is from RNAcentral. Lineage: Eukaryota; Viridiplantae; Streptophyta; Magnoliopsida; Fabales; Fabaceae.
UUUUGUUUUUCUUCUUCCUAAUUACACUUUUAACAAUUUAAAUUACGUGCAAUCCUAAUCAGGAAAAGAUAAAGUGUCCUUCAUCCCUAUGUCCUAUAACAUAACAAUGAUUUAUAACAUAACAUUUAGCUUUUGUAUAUUCACAAAUUGAACAUAAAACUUUACAAUAACCUUCCAGAGGGAAACCAAAGGGAAUCACGAGAACUGAUAACUCUAGCAGAAAACCGAUCAGACUCACUAAACCUUGACUUUCUUCCCUCCUUAUGCACCUUACCCUUUUCCUUAUACACCUCCAUACCAACCUUAUCCUUCACCUCUCUCACCGAAUCCCAUAACCCCUGUUGUGACUCCAAAAUCAUCACCACCCUCUCCUUACACUCUUCCAACCUCUUCAAACAACAAACCAAUUCAACAGCUUCUCCAAAUUCCAAACACCCUAAUCUCUCCUUAAACUCAUUCACUUCAACAAUCACCACAGUUUCUAUCACCACCCAAUCUUCACAAACCAAAUUCACUAUCUCACCCACCAACUUGUUCAUGUUCACUUGAUCUGGUCUCUUACAAAUCCCCUCAACCAGUGUCACCAAAGAGUCAAACUCCUUCAACAAACCACAGUUUGUAAGACAAGAAACUCUCUCUUCACCAUCACACAAAGACUUUCCAAGAAAGAAGAAACCCAAGAUUCGUGAAGUACAUAAAAGAUUCUCAAUAUGUUGAGCAAACCAACGUACCCAACAAGAAAGUUCCCAGGAAGUUGGAUUUGUAUUAUGUCGAAAAUUCGAGAGGUUAAGAUAGUUUCUACCACCGGUUGAAGGGUAAACAGAUAACUGAUCUUGAAGUAUGAAGCUACCAUGGCUGAUGAUAUGAUGAACGAUGAUGAGAGACUUGAGUGCAACGGCGGCGUUGUUGGUGUUCUGAAGACGGUCCAUAAGGAGUUCUAGAAAGGAGGAAGCGGUGGCGCGUGAACCGUCGGUGGAAGAGAGGAGCGUGGAGAUAUGUUUGUGGGUGGGAGGAGUGAAGGAGUCAUGGGUGGUGGCGCGUAAGAGAGAGAGGGUGGUGGGUUUAGAAAGUAACGCUGCUUUGCUUUGUGAAGCUUUGUCUUUGAUUAUGUUUAUUAGGUUUGUGACUGUGAGUUUUGUCAUGUUUUUGUU